GACGAACGCUGGCGGCGUGCUUAACACAUGCAAGUCAAGGGGGCCCGCAAGGGCAACCGGCGAACGGGUGCGUAACACGUGAGCAACCUGCCCAUUUGUGGGGGAUAGCCGGCCCAACGGCCGGGUAAUACCGCAUACGUUCACUGCGCGGCAUCGUGCGGUGAGGAAAGCCUUCGGGCGCAGGUGGAGGGGCUCGCGGCCUAUCAGCUAGUUGGUGGGGUAACGGCCUACCAAGGCAACGACGGGUAGCUGGUCUGAGAGGAUGGCCAGCCACAUUGGGACUGCGACACGGCCCAGACUCCUACGGGAGGCAGCAGUGGGGAAUCUUGCGCAAUGGCCGAAAGGCUGACGCAGCGACGCCGCGUGUGGGAUGAAGCUCUUCGGGGGUGUAAACCACUGUUGCCCGGGACGAACGGGCGGAUUUAUCCGCCGUGACGGUACCGGGUGAGGAAGCACCGGCU
RNAcentral lists this ribosomal RNA (461 nucleotides) under uncultured bacterium. Its description in RNAcentral is "bacterial SSU rRNA". It matches the Rfam family "Bacterial small subunit ribosomal RNA", at positions 28 to 498 of the family's 1533-position model. The record is from RNAcentral.